RNAcentral lists this long non-coding RNA (572 nucleotides) under Malus domestica (apple). RNAcentral describes it as "long non-coding RNA (MDOM_LNC012372)". Lineage: Eukaryota; Viridiplantae; Streptophyta; Magnoliopsida; Rosales; Rosaceae. The record is from RNAcentral.
UUCAUAAACCACUUUUGUUUUCUCAAGAAUUCAGCUAGUUAUUAGCUUCUUAAAAGUUGCAUUCCAUCUCCAAUGACAACUUUAAUUACUGAGAAAAAUAUAAGAAAUCUAUCCUACCCUAAUGGGCUUAUAUAGUUCAUACAUUCGAUAAAAGAAAUAACUUCGACAAAAGGUUUACUUUUCCUACAUUUUCCCCGAAAACUAACGAAGCAACAACAAUUAAACAUUCUAACCCUUUCAAUAAUAUUCAAUGCAGUACACAGAGACGAGAUCUGAUACAAAAAUUCUUCCAAAUGCUUAUCACACCCAGAGAUUCAUGAUGUCAAAUUUACCAAUGUUUACUUGGUUUUUCAUUCACACUCACAACGCACAACACCAUCAACAUCUUAAUAUUCGAUUUAACAAUAAAACCCUAUAAUUCCUAACCCCAAAAUUCGAUUUAACACUAAAACUCCCAAUUUCUAAUUUAAUUUUCUAGAUUGAAUCUAAUUACAAUACCAAAAUCUUCAAGUUAAGGCCUUAAAGCCUGAUUCUGACCUUAGAAAGAAGAAAAAUAAAGAAUUAAGAAAAGA